Non-coding RNA from Camellia sinensis, 1442 nucleotides. The record is from RefSeq and is a predicted model, not a curated record. Lineage: Eukaryota; Viridiplantae; Streptophyta; Magnoliopsida; Ericales; Theaceae.
UGGUCGCGAAAAACUUAUUUUCAGCAACCAAAAAAAAUUAGUCGCCAAAUUAGUACUUUUAGCGACUAAUAUUUUAGUCGCUGUUGAUUGAGAUUUGGCGACUAAAAAAAUUUGUCGGCGAAAGAACCUGUUUUUGCGACUAAUUUAAUCUUUUGGUCGCCAAAAGUUUGGGGGGAAAUUUGAAAGAUGGAGGGGGGAAAUGAAAUUUGAACCACCGUCGCACUCCUUAUUAGUUGUAUGCAUGUACUACUGUUGCAACUUGCAAGUGUCGAACAAUGAAAGGAACAAGACUUUCGAAGUAGCAGAUGACUCCCCAAACCUCAUUUUCUCUCUCAUGUCGAAAACCCUUCUCUCCCGCAUCAAACCUCAUCACAACCCCAAACCCAGUUCUUCCCCUUCCUUCUCCUUCAAACCCUUGAUCAAGCGACUCGUCAACGAACUCUGUGACAUCCUCAAAACCCACCACCACAAUCAAUGGCAAGACACCCUCGAAACCCGCCUCUCCAAAGAAGAAAUCGUCCCAUCUGACAUUGCCCAUUUGGUGCUCGACCGUAUUCGCGAUCCCGAAUUGGGUUUGAAGUUCUUUGAUUGGGUCACUCAACGCCCAUACGGUUGUUCUCUUGAUGGGUUUGCUUAUUCUUUUCUUCUUAAGCUCUUGGCCAGCUCUAGAGUGUUUUCAGAGAUUGAGACUGUGUUGGAGAGUAUGAAAGUUGAAGACAAGUUACCGACUCGGGAAGCUUUGGAUGCUGUAAUUCGAGCGUAUUCGGAUUCUGGGAGUCUUGAAGCAAAUCAAUUUUCUGGCAGUGUUCCUCCUGAACUCGGGAAACUAAGUAACUUGACAACUUUGGAGGAGGUUUUUCAAGUUGGAUGAAAUCCAUAGAAUGAGACCAUAUUAGCUUCUUGUUGUCUUGGGAGGAGGCUUAUGGUGUGGGAUCUUCGCAGUGUAGUGAUAAGCUUGGUCUACGCUUAGAGCUGGGUUCCUUUGCUGCUGGAGUGAUGAUAUCAACUGAUCUUGCUCAGCAUACACUCAAACAAAAAAUGCUAAUAGCCUAUAUUAGUGUACAUUCAAGGGUGGUGGGAAGAAUGGACAAGCUAUGUAUCAAACCCAACCUUUGGCAUUGUUUGCGUGAAGUGGCUGCCCUCAGAUUAUAAUAUGCAGUCCAAGCAUUUAUCAUUCCACAAAGCAAUUUUCCAUAUAUGUGGUUUCUACGUAUGUGUAUAUACAAAUAGUGUAAAAGCAUACAUACCUGUAUACAAGCAGUGUAAAAACAUACAUGAAUGAAAUGGUAGGUCUAUCCCAGAACUUCCAGAAUUCAUGUCAAAUUGAAUAUAGAUUGAGCUGCGAUCACUGUAGGUAUUAAUCACACUUAAAAUGUGUGGUCUAAAUGUUUAUUAUCACAGGUUUUAUUAGUAAUUAAUCAUACUUAAAAGAUGUGAUCUAA